Molecule: ribosomal RNA, 250 nt
Filed under: uncultured prokaryote
Description: partial 16S ribosomal RNA
Rfam family: Bacterial small subunit ribosomal RNA
Source: RNAcentral
UACAGAGGCCAAGAGCGUUGUUCGGAUUUAUUGGGUUUAAAGGGUGCGUAGGCUGUUCGUCAAGUCAGUGGUGAAAUGCCGGGGCUUAACCCCGGAGCUGCCAUUGAUACUGUCGGGCUUGAAUCCUGCUGCCGUGGGAGGAAUGAGUAGUGUAGCGGUGAAAUGCAUUGAUAUUACUCAGAACACCGAUUGCGAAGGCAUCUCACGAAACAGGCAUUGACGCUGAGGCACGAAAGCGUGGGGAUCAAAC